UACGUAGGGUGCAAGCGUUAAUCGGAAUUACUGGGCGUAAAGCGUGCGCAGGCGGAUUUGUAAGUCUGACGUGAAAUCCCCGGGCUCAACCUGGGAAUUGCGUUGGAGACUGCAAGGCUUGAAUCUGGCAGAGGGGGGUAGAAUUCCACGUGUAGCAGUGAAAUGCGUAGAGAUGUGGAGGAACACCGAUGGCGAAGGCAGCCCCCUGGGUCAAGAUUGACGCUCAUGCACGAAAGCGUGGGGAGCAAACAGG
This 253-nucleotide ribosomal RNA is filed under the name uncultured bacterium. Its description in RNAcentral is "partial 16S ribosomal RNA". It matches the Rfam family "Bacterial small subunit ribosomal RNA", at positions 524 to 776 of the family's 1533-position model. The record is from RNAcentral.